This 253-nucleotide ribosomal RNA is filed under the name uncultured bacterium. Its description in RNAcentral is "partial 16S ribosomal RNA". It matches the Rfam family "Bacterial small subunit ribosomal RNA", at positions 524 to 776 of the family's 1533-position model. The record is from RNAcentral.
UACGAGGGGGGCGAGCGUUGUUCGGAAUUAUUGGGCGUAAAGGGCGCGUAGGCGGUCGGAUAAGUCUUGUGUGAAAUCUUCGGGCUCAACUCGAAGUCUGCACAGGAAACUAUCUGGCUUGAGUGUGGGAGAGGUGAGUGGAAUUCCUGGUGUAGCGGUGAAAUGCGUAGAUAUCAGGAGGAACACCUGUGGCGAAAGCGGCUCACUGGACCACAACUGACGCUGAGGCGCGAAAGCCAGGGGAGCGAACGGG